UAUCAUUGGCACAACUGGGCAAACCCGUAUGUGGACUCACCUUGAGCGUCAAGCUGAAGGACAGGUCAAGGGUAUGGGUGAAAAACAAAUUGAAGUAGACGAGAAAAUUUUACGUACUCAACCUUUCAAUUGCUAGAAAUGAAGAAGCAAUGACAAAAUACUAUAGAGAGCAUGACAAAGCAUUCGGAACAGUAACUACAACAGAAUAAUUCGAUGGUCAAGGUACAAAAAGCGGCAGAUAGUAACAAAAAUCGAGUAAUUGAUCUUGAAAGUAGCUGUGUGAAACCUUUUAACCAGUGACCGCGAAGGAGGUGGUUGCAGAGGACAAGUCUUCGUCUGCAACUAUCUAAAGAAAGUGCAGCGGAGUAAGAAACUACGACAAAGAAAAGAAAAUUAGAAGCUAAAAGAUCACAUGAACCUGAGGUUAAAAAAGGGGUAAUGGUUUCCCUUUUGUUUCAUCAUUCAGUCUGAAAUUUAUUGGUUCGACUAAUUCAGAUUCACAUCGAAAGAUCCAUUAAAGAAGUUUUUCAUUUCAAGGGCUCAAAUUCAAAACUUCUAAUAAACAGGGAAGGAUAUCAAUAUGAUGCCUUUGGGAUUU
This is a long non-coding RNA of Solanum tuberosum (potato), 598 nucleotides long. RefSeq lists it as uncharacterized. The record is from RefSeq and is a predicted model, not a curated record. The transcript is spliced from 2 exons. NCBI's taxonomy places the organism in Eukaryota, Viridiplantae, Streptophyta, Magnoliopsida, Solanales, Solanaceae.